UGGGGAAUAUUGCACAAUGGGCGCAAGCCUGAUGCAGCAACGCCGCGUGAGGGACGACGGCCUUCGGGUUGUAAACCUCUUUUAGUAGGGAAGAAGCGAAAGUGACGGUACCUGCAGAAAAAGCACCGGCUAACUACGUGCCAGCAGCCGCGGUAAUACGUAGGGUGCGAGCGUUGUCCGGAAUUAUUGGGCGUAAAGAGCUCGUAGGCGGUCUGUCGCGUCUGCUGUGAAAACCCGAGGCUCAACCUCGGGCCUGCAGUGGGUACGGGCAGACUAGAGUGCGGUAGGGGAGAAUGGAAUUCCUGGUGUAGCGGUGGAAUGCGCAGAUAUCAGGAGGAACACCGAUGGCGAAGGCAGUUCUCUGGGCCGUAACUGACGCUGAGGAGCGAAAGCGUGGGGAGCGAACAGGAUUAGAUACCCUGGUAGUCCACGCCGUAAACGUUGGGCGCUAGAUGUGGGGACCAUUCCACGGUUUCCGUGUCGCAGCUAACGCAUUAAGCGCCCCGCCUGGGGGAGUACGGCCGCAAGGCU
RNAcentral lists this ribosomal RNA (531 nucleotides) under uncultured bacterium. RNAcentral describes it as "partial 16S ribosomal RNA". It matches the Rfam family "Bacterial small subunit ribosomal RNA", at positions 355 to 895 of the family's 1533-position model. The record is from RNAcentral.